UACGGGGGGAGCAAGCGUUGUUCGGAUUUACUGGGCGUAAAGGGCGCGUAGGCGGUCGUGACAAGUCACUUGUGAAAUCUCCGGGCUUAACUCGGAACGGUCAAGUGAUACUGUCGGACUAGAGUACAGAAGGGGCAACUGGAAUUCUCGGUGUAGCGGUGAAAUGCGUAGAUAUCGAGAGGAACACCUGCGGCGAAGGCGGGUUGCUGGGC
This 212-nucleotide ribosomal RNA is filed under the name uncultured bacterium. RNAcentral's name for it is "partial 16S ribosomal RNA". It matches the Rfam family "Bacterial small subunit ribosomal RNA", at positions 524 to 734 of the family's 1533-position model. The record is from RNAcentral.